AUUGAACGCUGGCGGCAGGCCUAACACAUGCAAGUCGAGCGAGCGGCGGACGGGUGAGUAAUGUCUGGGAACCUGCCUGAUGGAGGGGGAUAACUACUGGAAACGGUAGCUAAUACCGCAUACCAUCAGAUGGGCCCAGAUGGGAUGAGCUAGUAGGUGGGGUAAUGUCUCACCUAGGCGACGAUCCCUAGCUGGUCUGAGAGGAUGACUGGCCACACUGGAAGGUAGCCACGGUCCGGAGUCUUACUGGAGGCAGCAGUGGGGAAUAUUGCACAAUGGGCGCAAGCCUGAUGCAGCCAUGCCGCGUGUAUGAGGAAGGCCUUCGGGUUAUAAAGUACUUUCAGCGUGGAGGCGUUACCCGCAGAGGAAGCGCCGGCUAACUCCGUGCCAGGAGCCGCGGUAAUUC
This 406-nucleotide ribosomal RNA is filed under the name uncultured bacterium. RNAcentral describes it as "partial 16S ribosomal RNA". It matches the Rfam family "Bacterial small subunit ribosomal RNA", at positions 30 to 526 of the family's 1533-position model. The record is from RNAcentral.